This 1525-nucleotide ribosomal RNA is filed under the name Parabacteroides distasonis. Its description in RNAcentral is "bacterial SSU rRNA". It matches the Rfam family "Bacterial small subunit ribosomal RNA". The record is from RNAcentral. RNAcentral also lists the same sequence under 1 other name. Lineage: Bacteria; Pseudomonadati; Bacteroidota; Bacteroidia; Bacteroidales; Tannerellaceae.
ACAACGAAGAGUUUGAUCCUGGCUCAGGAUGAACGCUAGCGACAGGCUUAACACAUGCAAGUCGAGGGGCAGCGGGGGUAGCAAUACCCGCCGGCGACCGGCGCACGGGUGAGUAACGCGUAUGCAACUUACCUAUCAGAGGGGGAUAACCCGGCGAAAGUCGGACUAAUACCGCAUGAAGCAGGGGCCCCGCAUGGGGAUAUUUGCUAAAGAUUCAUCGCUGAUAGAUAGGCAUGCGUUCCAUUAGGCAGUUGGCGGGGUAACGGCCCACCAAACCGACGAUGGAUAGGGGUUCUGAGAGGAAGGUCCCCCACAUUGGUACUGAGACACGGACCAAACUCCUACGGGAGGCAGCAGUGAGGAAUAUUGGUCAAUGGCCGAGAGGCUGAACCAGCCAAGUCGCGUGAGGGAUGAAGGUUCUAUGGAUCGUAAACCUCUUUUAUAAGGGAAUAAAGUGCGGGACGUGUCCCGUUUUGUAUGUACCUUAUGAAUAAGGAUCGGCUAACUCCGUGCCAGCAGCCGCGGUAAUACGGAGGAUCCGAGCGUUAUCCGGAUUUAUUGGGUUUAAAGGGUGCGUAGGCGGCCUUUUAAGUCAGCGGUGAAAGUCUGUGGCUCAACCAUAGAAUUGCCGUUGAAACUGGGGGGCUUGAGUAUGUUUGAGGCAGGCGGAAUGCGUGGUGUAGCGGUGAAAUGCAUAGAUAUCACGCAGAACCCCGAUUGCGAAGGCAGCCUGCCAAGCCAUGACUGACGCUGAUGCACGAAAGCGUGGGGAUCAAACAGGAUUAGAUACCCUGGUAGUCCACGCAGUAAACGAUGAUCACUAGCUGUUUGCGAUACACUGUAAGCGGCACAGCGAAAGCGUUAAGUGAUCCACCUGGGGAGUACGCCGGCAACGGUGAAACUCAAAGGAAUUGACGGGGGCCCGCACAAGCGGAGGAACAUGUGGUUUAAUUCGAUGAUACGCGAGGAACCUUACCCGGGUUUGAACGCAUUCGGACCGAGGUGGAAACACCUUUUCUAGCAAUAGCCGUUUGCGAGGUGCUGCAUGGUUGUCGUCAGCUCGUGCCGUGAGGUGUCGGCUUAAGUGCCAUAACGAGCGCAACCCUUGCCACUAGUUACUAACAGGUAAAGCUGAGGACUCUGGUGGGACUGCCAGCGUAAGCUGCGAGGAAGGCGGGGAUGACGUCAAAUCAGCACGGCCCUUACAUCCGGGGCGACACACGUGUUACAAUGGCGUGGACAAAGGGAAGCCACCUGGCGACAGGGAGCGAAUCCCCAAACCACGUCUCAGUUCGGAUCGGAGUCUGCAACCCGACUCCGUGAAGCUGGAUUCGCUAGUAAUCGCGCAUCAGCCAUGGCGCGGUGAAUACGUUCCCGGGCCUUGUACACACCGCCCGUCAAGCCAUGGGAGCCGGGGGUACCUGAAGUCCGUAACCGCGAGGAUCGGCCUAGGGUAAAACUGGUGACUGGGGCUAAGUCGUAACAAGGUAGCCGUACCGGAAGGUGCGGCUGGAACACCUCCUUU